This 22-nucleotide microRNA is filed under the name Alligator mississippiensis (American alligator). RNAcentral's name for it is "ami-miR-99b-3p". Its record names the gene ami-miR-99b-3p. Lineage: Eukaryota; Metazoa; Chordata; Crocodylia; Alligatoridae. The record is from miRBase by way of RNAcentral.
CAAGCUCGACUCUGUGGGUCUG